This 459-nucleotide ribosomal RNA is filed under the name Triticum aestivum (bread wheat). Its description in RNAcentral is "partial small subunit ribosomal RNA". Lineage: Eukaryota; Viridiplantae; Streptophyta; Magnoliopsida; Poales; Poaceae. The record is from RNAcentral.
AUGAGCACGAACUACAGAGCCCGCUGUCCACGCAUCAGUUCAUCAUUAGAUAUCUGCAGGAGCUCCAGGAUAUUGGCAAAGAAACAAGGUGCUAGACCCACAAGAGAUUCAGUUCCAGGACGCAAUGCAACUUGGAUCCCACCGGCAGAGGGAGAGGUCAAGAUGAAUGUAGAUGGGGUUGUGGCCAAGUCCUCCAACACGGGUGCUGUGGGCGUUGUGUGCCGUAGCGUAGCUGGGCUGUUUUUAGGUGCUUCUACUGUAGUUUUCCAAGGUGUGACUGAACCGGCGACUUUGGAAGCAUAUGCUUGCAGGGAGGCUCUCGCAUUAGCCGAGGAUUUGGUUGUGAACAAAGUAGUACGCAUUGCAUCUGACUGUCUGAGAGUCAUAAACAACCUAAAGAGCUCGGUGCAUCUCGGGUCUCGGCGAUUAUUGCAUGAUCUUGCAGGAAAUCAACGAUAG